Molecule: ribosomal RNA, 428 nt
Filed under: uncultured bacterium
Lineage: Bacteria
Description: partial 16S ribosomal RNA
Rfam family: Bacterial small subunit ribosomal RNA
Source: RNAcentral
ACUAGGAAUUUUGCGCAAUGGGGGCAACCCUGACGCAGCGACAGAGCGUGGAUGAGGAAGGUCUUCGGAUUGUAAACUCCUUUUAUAUGGGAAGAAUAGAUGACUGUACCAUAUGAAUAAGCACCUGCUAACUACGUGCCAGAAGCAUCGGUGAUGCGUAGGGUGCGAACGUUAUCCGGAUGUAUUGGGCGUAAAGAGAUGCGUAGGCGUUUCAGUUAGUCUUUCGUUAAAAGUCACGGCUUAACCGUGAAGAUGCAUGGGAUACUGCUGAAAUUGAGACAUGAAGGGGUGAACGGAACUCCAAGUGGAGCGGUGAAAUGCGUUGAUAUUUGGAAGAACAUCAGAGGCGAAGGCGGUUCACUGGUCAUUGUCUGACGCUAAGGCUCGAAAGCGUGGGUAGCAAAACGGAUUAGAAACCCCUGUAGUCC